This 484-nucleotide ribosomal RNA is filed under the name uncultured bacterium. RNAcentral describes it as "partial 16S ribosomal RNA". It matches the Rfam family "Bacterial small subunit ribosomal RNA", at positions 30 to 507 of the family's 1533-position model. The record is from RNAcentral.
AUUGAACGCUGGCGGCAGGCCUAACACAUGCAAGUCGAGCGGAUGAAGGGAGCUUGCUCCUGGAUUCAGCGGCGGACGGGUGAGUAAUGCCUAGGAAUCUGCCUGGUAGUGGGGGAUAACGUCCGGAAACGGGCGCUAAUACCGCAUACGUCCUGAGGGAGAAAGUGGGGGAUCUUCGGACCUCACGCUAUCAGAUGAGCCUAGGUCGGAUUAGCUAGUUGGUGGGGUAAAGGCCUACCAAGGCGACGAUCCGUAACUGGUCUGAGAGGAUGAUCAGUCACACUGGAACUGAGACACGGGCCAGACUCCUACGGGAGGCAGCAGUGGGGAAUAUUGGACAAUGGGCGAAAGCAUGAUCCAGCCAUGCCGCGUGUGUGAAGAAGGUCUUCGGAUUGUAAAGCACUUUAAGUUGGGAGGAAGGGCAGUAAGUUAAUACCUUGCUGUUUUGACGGUACCAACAGAAUAAGCACCGGCUAACUUCGUG